GAACACACGGGAACUUACCAAGUGGCUUUGGUGAUGGCGCUUCUCAAAAGAGUCGAGUUGGUUUGGGAAAUGCAGCUCAAAAUGGGUGGUAAAAUUCCAUCUAAAGGUUAAUAUUGGCGAGAGACCGAUAGCGAACAAGUACCGUGAGGGAAAGAUGAAAAAGCACUUUGGAAAGAGAGUUAAACAGUACGUGAAAUUGCUGAAAAGGGAAACGCUUGAAGUCAGUCGCGUUGAUCAGGACUCAGCCUUGCUUUUGCUUGGUGUAUUUUCUGGUUAACGGGCCAGCAUCGAUUUCGACCACCGGAAAAAGGCUGGGGGAAUGUGGCACCUUCGGGUGUGUUAUAGCCCUCAGUCACAUACGGUGGUCGGGAUCGAGGACCGCAGCACGCCUUUAUGGCCGGGGUUCGCCCACGUUCGUGCUUAGGAUGCUGGCGUAAUGGCUUUAAACGACCCGUCUUGAAACACGGACCAAGGAGUCUAACAUGCCUGCGAGUGUUUGGGUGGAAAACCCGAGCGCGUAAUGAAAGUGAAAGUUGAGAUCCCUGUCGCGGGGAGCAUCGACGCCCGGACCUGAACUUCGGUGAUGGAUCUGCGGUAGAGCAUGUAUGUUGGGACCCGAAAGAUGGUGAAMUAUGCCUGAAUAGGUGAAGCCAGAGGAAACUCCUUCCUCCCUCCUAGCGAUUCUGACUGCCCCUCGCUCUCAAUAUGGGUAUAGGGGGAAGCAUUUUG
Molecule: ribosomal RNA, 729 nt
Filed under: Rhodofomitopsis roseomagna
Lineage: Eukaryota; Fungi; Basidiomycota; Agaricomycetes; Polyporales; Fomitopsidaceae
Description: LSU rRNA
Rfam family: Eukaryotic large subunit ribosomal RNA
Source: RNAcentral